This 180-nucleotide ribosomal RNA is filed under the name uncultured Glomeromycotina. RNAcentral's name for it is "partial small subunit ribosomal RNA". The stretch from base 93 to 180 matches the Rfam family "Eukaryotic small subunit ribosomal RNA", at positions 736 to 823 of the family's 1831-position model. Lineage: Eukaryota; Fungi; Glomeromycota. The record is from RNAcentral.
GGCCCGGCUGAAUUGGUCCGCCUUCGUGGUGUGCACUGUUCUGGCUGGGUCUUUCCUUCUGGGGAGCCAGCGUGCCCUUCACUGGUGUGCGCUGGGGAUCCAGGACUUUUACUUUGAAAAAAUUAGAGUGUUUAAAGCAGGCCUUAUUUGCUUGAAUACAUUAGCAUGGAAUAAUAGAAU